This 72-nucleotide transfer RNA is filed under the name Plestiodon brevirostris (shortnose skink). Its description in RNAcentral is "tRNA-Ile". It matches the Rfam family "tRNA". From Rfam's summary of the family: Transfer RNA (tRNA) molecules are approximately 80 nucleotides in length. Their secondary structure includes four short double-helical elements and three loops (D, anti-codon, and T loops). Lineage: Eukaryota; Metazoa; Chordata; Lepidosauria; Squamata; Scincidae. The record is from RNAcentral.
AAGGAAAUGUGCCCGAAAGUUAAGGGCCACUUUGAUAGAGUAGCACACAGAGGUUAAAAUCCUCUCAUUUCC